RNAcentral lists this transfer RNA (74 nucleotides) under Treponema sp. RNAcentral describes it as "tRNA-Leu". It matches the Rfam family "tRNA". From Rfam's summary of the family: Transfer RNA (tRNA) molecules are approximately 80 nucleotides in length. Their secondary structure includes four short double-helical elements and three loops (D, anti-codon, and T loops). The record is from RNAcentral. RNAcentral also lists the same sequence under 1 other name. Lineage: Bacteria; Pseudomonadati; Spirochaetota; Spirochaetia; Treponematales; Treponemataceae.
GUCCAUGUGGCUCAAUUGGCAGAAGCACUUGAUUCAGGGUCAAGUAGAUAAGAGUUCGAAUCUCUUCAUGGAUA